Molecule: ribosomal RNA, 137 nt
Filed under: uncultured bacterium
Lineage: Bacteria
Description: partial 16S ribosomal RNA
Rfam family: Bacterial small subunit ribosomal RNA
Source: RNAcentral
UGGGGAAUAUUGCACAAUGGGGGAAACCCCGAUGCAGCGACGCCGCGUGAGCGAUGAAGUAUUUCGGUAUGUAAAGCUCUAUCAGCAGGGAAGAAAAUGACGGUACCUGACUAAGAAGCCCCGGCUAACUACGUGCC